This 146-nucleotide transfer RNA is filed under the name archaeon. RNAcentral describes it as "tRNA-OTHER". It matches the Rfam family "tRNA". From Rfam's summary of the family: Transfer RNA (tRNA) molecules are approximately 80 nucleotides in length. The record is from RNAcentral.
GCGGGGGUAGCAAAGUGGUCAAAUGCGCAGGGAACUUACAGAAAGUUACUGUAGGUUUGCGAAACUUAAGACCAAAGUCUCUUUGAGAUAGUCGUAAGAUAUCCUGUCUCUUAGUGAGUUCGAGGGUUCAAAUCCCUUCCCUCGCA